GAAUCUUCCGCAAUGCACGAGAGUGUGACGGAGCGACGCCGCGUGUGGGACGAAGCCCUUCGGGGUGUAAACCACUGUCAGGGGUUACCAAGUUCUGAGGAGCCCCAGAGGAAGGCACGGCUAACUCUGUGCCAGCAGCCGCGGUAAGACAGAGGUGCCAAGCGUUAGGCGGAAUCACUGGGCUUAAAGCGUGUGUAGGCGGACUCGUAAGUACCUUGUGAAAUCCCACGGCUCAACCGUGGAACUGCUUGGUAUACUGCUUGUCUUGAGCCACUUAGGGGCUGUCGGAACAAACGGUGGAGCGGUGAAAUGCGUAGAUAUCGUUUGGAACGCCAAAGGUGAAAACAGACAGCUGGGAGUGUGCUGACGCUGAGACACGAAAGCCAGGGGAGCGAACGGG
This 400-nucleotide ribosomal RNA is filed under the name uncultured bacterium. RNAcentral's name for it is "bacterial SSU rRNA". It matches the Rfam family "Bacterial small subunit ribosomal RNA", at positions 359 to 776 of the family's 1533-position model. The record is from RNAcentral.